Long non-coding RNA from Megalobrama amblycephala (Wuchang bream), 443 nucleotides. RefSeq lists it as uncharacterized. The record is from RefSeq and is a predicted model, not a curated record. Lineage: Eukaryota; Metazoa; Chordata; Actinopteri; Cypriniformes; Xenocyprididae. The transcript has 3 exons.
AAGACUGUACAUGCAGUAUGAGGUCUGAGAUGCAAGAUCUUGAGAUUCAGGUCAACAGUCUCACCCCUAGCAUUUUUGUUUAUUUAUAUUCAUGUCCCAUUCUCAUAAGAGCUUUAUCUUGAACUUUUGCCUGCAUUUCUUGUCAGACAGCAACUGGUUUUUCUCUUGAUAACAUCACUGACUCCACCUGUACAUACAGAUUUCUUCCUGCUUUCAGACUGGUAACAAGCAAAGAGACAUGAUGAAGAAUGAUGAAACCACAAACAGUUUUAGGAGUUUGUUGAAUCUCAGAUAGACGUCAGGAGUCAGAAAAGAUGAUUGGCUGAAGACUAAAGAAAGAAGGAAUGAAGAGAAUGUCACCAUGUCCAGCGCUAACAACACAGAGACCCUUACCAAAAAUGCUGCUCCCCAAAGAAGAGGGAGCAAAACUGACCCUCCUUACU